CCUACGGGUGGCAGCAGUGAGGAAUAUUGGUCAAUGGACGAGAGUCUGAACCAGCCAAGUAGCGUGAAGGAUGACUGCCCUAUGGGUUGUAAACUUCUUUUAUAUGGGAAUAAAACGUUCCACGUGUGGGAUUUUGUAUGUACCAUAUGAAUAAGGAUCGGCUAACUCCGUGCCAGCAGCCGCGGUAAUACGGAGGAUCCGAGCGUUAUCCGGAUUUAUUGGGUUAAAAGGGAGCGUAGGUGGAUUGUUAAGUCAGUUGUGAAAGUUUGCGGCUCAACCGUAAAAUUGCAGUUGAAACUGGCAGUCUUGAGUACAGUAGAGGUGGGCGGAAUUCGUGGUGUAGCGGUGAAAUGCUUAGAUAUCACGAAGAACUCCGAUUGCGAAGGCAGUUCACUGGACUGCAACUGACACUGAGGCUCGAAAGUGUGGGUAUCAAACAGGAUUAGAUACCCCAGUAGUC
Molecule: ribosomal RNA, 460 nt
Filed under: uncultured bacterium
Lineage: Bacteria
Description: partial 16S ribosomal RNA
Rfam family: Bacterial small subunit ribosomal RNA
Source: RNAcentral